Molecule: ribosomal RNA, 508 nt
Filed under: uncultured bacterium
Lineage: Bacteria
Description: partial 16S ribosomal RNA
Rfam family: Bacterial small subunit ribosomal RNA
Source: RNAcentral
GACGAACGCUGGCGGCGUGCCUAAUACAUGCAAGUCGAACGCUUCUUUCCUCCUGAGUGCUUGCACUCAAUUGGAAAGAGGAGUGGCGGACGGGUGAGUAACACGUGGGUAACCUACCCAUCAGAGGGGGAUAACACUUGGAAACAGGUGCUAAUACCGCAUAACAGUUUAUGCCGCAUGGCAUAAGAGUGAAAGGCGCUUUCGGGUGUCGUUGAUGGAUGGAGCCGCGGUGCAUUACCUAGUUGGUGAGGUAACGGUUCACCAAGGCGACGAUGCAUAGCCGGCCUGAGAGGGUGAUCGGCCACACUGGAACUGAGACACGGCCCAGACUCCUACGGGAGGCAGCAGUAGGGAAUCUUGGGCAAUGGACGAAAGUCUGACCGAGCAACGCCGCGUGAGUGAAGAAGGUCUUCGGAUCGUAAAGCUCUGUUGUUAGAGAAGAACAAGGACGUUAGUAACUGAACGUCCCCUGACGGUAUCUAACCAGAAAGCCACGGCUAACUACGUG